CAGCAGCCGCGGGAAUACGAAGGGUGCAAGCGUUAAUCGGAAUUACUGGGCGUAAAGCGUGCGUAGGCGGUUUGUUAAGUCUGUUGUGAAAUCCCCGGGCUCAACCUGGGAAUGGCAAUGGAUACUGGCAAGCUAGAGUGUGUCAGAGGACGGUGGAAUUCCCGGUGUAGCGGUGAAAUGCGUAGAGAUCGGGAGGAACAUCAGUGGCGAAGGCGGCCAUCUGGGACAACACUGACGCUGAGGCACGAAAGCGUGGGGAGCAAACAGGAUUAGAUACCCCUGUAGUCCCUGUCUCUUAUAC
This 301-nucleotide ribosomal RNA is filed under the name uncultured bacterium. Its description in RNAcentral is "partial 16S ribosomal RNA". It matches the Rfam family "Bacterial small subunit ribosomal RNA", at positions 509 to 807 of the family's 1533-position model. The record is from RNAcentral.